AAACUCCUACGGGAGGCAGCAGUGGGGAAUAUUGCACAAUGGGCGAAAGCCUGAUGCAGCAACGCCGCGUGAGUGAUGAAGGCCUUCGGGUCGUAAAACCCUGUCCUCAAGGAAGAUAAUGACGGUACUUGAGGAGGAAGCCCCGGCUAACUACGUGCCAGCAGCCGCGGGAAUACGUAGGGGGCUAGCGUUAUCCGGAUUUACUGGGCGUAAAGGGUGCGUAGGCGGUCUUUCAAGUCA
RNAcentral lists this ribosomal RNA (240 nucleotides) under Clostridioides difficile. RNAcentral describes it as "partial 16S ribosomal RNA". It matches the Rfam family "Bacterial small subunit ribosomal RNA", at positions 333 to 590 of the family's 1533-position model. The record is from RNAcentral. Lineage: Bacteria; Bacillati; Bacillota; Clostridia; Peptostreptococcales; Peptostreptococcaceae.